Molecule: long non-coding RNA, 476 nt
Organism: Rhipicephalus microplus (southern cattle tick)
Lineage: Eukaryota; Metazoa; Arthropoda; Arachnida; Ixodida; Ixodidae
Source: RefSeq, a predicted model, not a curated record
CAAAGUCGUGCGCAAACAUAUAGUCCAUAUGGUAUGCCUUUGAGCCUUUUGGAGGUCACCUGCUGAUGAUUCGAGUAGAGAGCAAGGCAUCAGUUACGCCAUGUCCUCUGCGGGCGCUUGGGCCAUCGUUGUCAUCGUACUAGCAGACGCAGCGUGCAAUGUACUAUCCUCUUAUUAUUCUCCUUCUAAGGACGAGUGCGUGAAGUGUACUUGCAAAUACGCCGAGGAGAGCCUAUGCGAAUGGAAUGAUGAAACAAACUGUUACUGUGUCCAUGGCUGCUACAGAGAUGGCGUCCACGGCAACCUCUUAUCGAUUAGGGAGUGCUUUCCUAUACUGAAUGACUACGAUUAACAUUUGUUCUUGCACCUAAGCGUAAUGCAUUGAAAUAUUACUAUACUUUAGAAGGUUGGACGUUCCAUUGAAGAAUAAAAAGACGUACCACACAAGAUGACAUGAGGCAUAAAUAGUUUCCUUU